CCAGAAAGAUUAAAGCUCUCCCUGCUGAAAUCUCCUUUCCCUCCAGCAGGAAACCAGUGUAGUUAUGUUGUUUGUACUUGCCAGGAUACACUUCCAUUUCAUAUUUGCAAGUACACAUAAAGGUAUCCUUCAUCAGCAGCACAGUGCUUCCUUUCCUCUGAAUCUGCCAUCAGCUCAGGCAGAUUUCUAAGCAGCAAAUCAGCCUUUGCCAGAACACUGCAGGACACCAGUGCAGCGCCCAGCCUGCGACCAUGAGAAACCCCAGCCACAUCUCCAGCACACAAGAACUUCAAAAUGCCUAAGCCGCAGCAGUCAAGCAUUCCUAGAGGACCUUCUCCAUCAGGAUCUUGCUUCAAGUGCCAGAAAUCUGGCCACUGGGCCAAGGAAUGCCCACAGCCCGGGAUUCCUCCUAAGCUGUGUCCCAUCUGUGUGGGACCCCACUGAAAAUCAGACUGUCCAGCUCACCUGGCAGCCACUCCCAGAGCCCCUGGAACUCUGGCCCAAGGCUCUCUGAUUGACUUCUUCCCAGAUCUUCUGGGCUUAGUGGCUGAAGACUGACACUGCCCGAUCACCUGAGAAGCCUCCUGGACCAUCACAGAUGCUUUAGGUAACUCUUACAGUAGAGG
RNAcentral lists this long non-coding RNA (626 nucleotides) under Homo sapiens (human). RNAcentral describes it as "novel transcript, antisense to LIPA". The record is from RNAcentral. Lineage: Eukaryota; Metazoa; Chordata; Mammalia; Primates; Hominidae.